This 573-nucleotide transfer RNA is filed under the name Hapalosiphon sp. SR14. RNAcentral describes it as "16S-23S ribosomal RNA intergenic spacer". The stretch from base 295 to 367 matches the Rfam family "tRNA". The record is from RNAcentral. Lineage: Bacteria; Bacillati; Cyanobacteriota; Cyanophyceae; Nostocales; Hapalosiphonaceae.
CUUUUAAGGGAGACCUACCCACUCAAUGUACCCAGAGCAAAUUCAAGUUGUAAGCAGGUCAUGAGUUGGUCAUCCCAGGUCGGUCGUAGGGUAGUAGUAAAUCUUUCAAACUAUAAAAUGGUUCGGGUUAUGGGCUAUUAGCUCAGGUGGUUAGAGCGCACCCCUGAUAAGGGUGAGGUCCCUGGUUCGAGUCCAGGAUGGCCCACCUGAAGCAAUUAAAAAUUAGAAAUUAAAAAUUAAAAAUGGAGAGGAUUCGAUUUUUAGUUUUAAAUUUUUCAUUUUUAAUUCUUUAGCGGGGGUUUAGCUCAGUUGGUAGAGCGCCUGCUUUGGAAGCAGGAUGUCAGGAGUUCGAGUCUCCUAACCUCCACCUAUACAUACGAGAUAUAUGAAUAGAGUCUAGCACCUGAAUCGAAAGACUCAGUCUGCUGGGUUUUCAACCAGCCAGAACCUUGAAAACUGCAUAGAGAAGCGAAUGUAUGGUAGUCAGUGAAGAGUGAACAGUGAACAGUAAUGAAAAAACUGAGAACUGAUAACUAAACACUGAACAGACACCAAUGUUUUGUGUAGAGAAGU